Molecule: ribosomal RNA, 253 nt
Filed under: uncultured bacterium
Lineage: Bacteria
Description: partial 16S ribosomal RNA
Rfam family: Bacterial small subunit ribosomal RNA
Source: RNAcentral
UACAGAGGGGGCAAGCGUUGUUCGGAAUUACUGGGCGUAAAGGGCGCGUAGGCGGCCUUCUAAGUCGAACGUGAAAUCCCCGGGCUCAACCCGGGAACUGCGUCCGAUACUGGAAGGCUUGAAUCCGGGAGAGGGAUGCAGAAUUCCAGGUGUAGCGGUGAAAUGCGUAGAUAUCGUAAGGAAGACCAGUGGCGAAGGCGGGUCUCUGGACAGUUCCUGACGCUGAGGCACGAAGGUCAGGGGAGCAAACGGG